Molecule: ribosomal RNA, 252 nt
Filed under: uncultured Anaerococcus sp.
Lineage: Bacteria; Bacillati; Bacillota; Tissierellia; Tissierellales; Peptoniphilaceae
Description: partial 16S ribosomal RNA
Rfam family: Bacterial small subunit ribosomal RNA
Source: RNAcentral
CGGGGUGAGUAACGCGUGAGUAACCUGCCUUACACAGGGGAUAGCCGUUGGAAACGACGAAUAAUACCCUAUGACAUAAACUCUUCGCAUGAGGAGCUAUCAAAGAUUUAUCGGUGUAAGAUGGACUCGCGUCUGAUUAGCUAGUUGGUGAGGUAACGGCCCACCAAGGCGACGAUCAGUAGCCGGCUUGAGAGAGUGUACGGCCACAUUGGGACUGAGACACGGCCCAGACUCCUACGGGAGGCAGCAGCC